Molecule: ribosomal RNA, 324 nt
Filed under: uncultured eukaryote
Lineage: Eukaryota
Description: partial 18S ribosomal RNA
Rfam family: Eukaryotic small subunit ribosomal RNA
Source: RNAcentral
CCCUUAGAUGUUCUGGGCCGCACGCGCGCUACACUGAUGCAUUCAACGAGCACCCGCUGGGCCGAGAGGUCCGGCUAAUCUUUGAACGUGCAUCGUGCUGGGGAUAGAUGAUUGCAAUUAUUCAUCUUCAACGAGGAAUUCCUAGUAAACGCAAGUCAUCAGCUUGCAUUGAUUACGUCCCUGCCCUUUGUACACACCGCCCGUCGCACCUACCGAUUGAAUGGUCCGGUGAAAUUCUCGGACGCGGACUUGCGAUGUUAAUUCGGAGCUUGACUGUGAAAGUUAAUUAAACCUUGCCAUUUAGAGGAAGGUGAAGUCGUAACA